UUUAGAGUUCUCUCAAGCCCUUCUCAUUUUUUCCGUCUUCCUGAUUUUCUUUCAAUCUCAAUUAUAGAGUCGAGACUGCGUCAAUGAGGCUACAGGUAACAUAAAAGUCGUAACAGUUUGGUAUUGAACAGAGUUCAACCAGCCUCAUGUUUUCAUAUCCAUGCCGGUUCUGAUGAAUGCUUCCGUUCCCAGAUAACAAGUUUCUUAUCAUAGCCUCCUGUUUUUUUUUUUAAUAACUAAAGAAUAGCAUGAAAUCGCCAAAAGAUGACGGGAAGGAGUAGAUACAAAUCUGCAAAACACUCAGGUUUAGCAAAAGAAAACAAACGAGGAGGAGAAGACCAAGGAAACCACACAAAAAACAGAGCAACAGAUCAUCAAUCAAUCCUGUUGCUACCCAAUCAAUCCUGCCACCAAUGUUUUUGUUCAGAAACCUGUAAUAAGUGAAGUGCAUUGGCUUUCAUCUUCUCUACUAACUUCUCCUUAUUAACAGCAACAACACACCUCUGCAGCAGCAGCAGCACCACAGGAUCCUCACUCUCGUCAGCAACCAUUCUGAAUUAACACCUCUAACGGCUACUAUUCAGAAUGGUAAUUAACCAUACAUGGAAAUCACAGGAAUCAACAGCUACCUCAACCAACGGCUACUUCUCAAAGAAGGAAACUACAGCCAUGGCAGAUCUUUCAUAGAAGGAAACUACAGCUACCUCAUAUCAGAAACAAAUCAAUAUAUAUAAAUAAGGAAUAUUGUAUUCAUAGAAAGAAAUAAGUGAUGAAGUUAAUUACUACUCUAUAUAUAAAGAGUAUCCUGCACAAAUUAGUAUUAGUGCUCACGUUUGUAUUCUUGACAGUAAAUGCAGUAAACUCAUAUUCUUCAUCUACUGCGUUCCCUUGUUCAGCUUUCUUCUCUUGGUAUCAGAGCGUGAGUGAGCACACACAUAUCAAACACAAUUACAUAUUUCACAAUGACUUCGUUGUCUCUCAAUGUUGGCAACUUUAUUACCCUCAAACUUAACCAAACAAACUACCCAUUAUGGAGAGAACAAGCUCUGGCUCUUGCAGAAAGUCAGGAGCUAGUUGAGCAUCUCACCAAUGAAGAUCCUGCACCAGCAAAAUACAACACACAAGAUUCAAUCAACAACCUGCACACAGAAAAUACAGCACCAGUCCUAACAGAAGCCUUCAUCACUUGGAGAAAAUCUGACCGACUCCUUCGAGGUUGGAUUAUUGGAACCUUGUCUGAAGAAGCACUUAGUCUUGUUGUUGGACUAGAAACAGCAUCUGCUGUUUGGGAAGCACUGAAGAAUGCGUAUGCUAAGGAUUCACAAGAACGUGAAUUUACACUUCGUCAGCAGGUUACCUACUUUCAUAAACAUGAAAAUCAAUCCAUGGAAGAGCAUAUCCGCACCUUUAAAAGCUUGUGUGACAGCCUUGCAGCAAUUGGAAAACCAGUUUCAGACAAUGAAAAGGUUUUUUGUCUUCUCACCAGCCUUGGUCCACAAUAUGAAAACUUCACAACAACCAUGUUGAAGCCUCCAAGACCAUCCUAUUCAGAGCUGGUUUCACAGCUUCAAAAUUUUGAUCAACGCCGAACUUGGUUCUCCUCUCAUACAGAUAUAACAAACACACAGUUUCCACAACAACUUGCUUUUUAUGGACAACAACAGCAACGCCAUCAGCAGAGAACACAGCAGCCUUCCUCAGCACGCAGCACAUAUCAGUUCACAUCUAGUGGCAGAGGAUUUCAAGCCCAGCAAUCCAGAGAUCAAAACAGAAGGUAUUUUAAUCCCACUCAACAACCCAUUCAACAACGCCGACCUCCACCACCAGGAGAACGUCGCAUGACUCAAACAGAACGAGAUUUGUAUCGUGAAGACAAAUGCCAAUAUUGUGGCACAACCGGUCACAUUGCUAAAAUAUGCUGGUGGAUACCUAAACAAAAUACUACUCAGGACACUGAAAUCCCACAAGCACUAGCAGCCCUUACGCUAGACAACACCGUGGUUGACACGGAAUGGACAUCAGACACUGGUGCAUCGAAUCACAUGACAAGUAAGCCAGGUAUGUUAACUGAUGUUCGUAAGUAUUUUGGAACUGAUUCUGUGGUUAUUGGAAAUGGAUCGUCUCUACCGAUUGUUGGUAUUGGAGAUUCAUUUAUUAAACAAAACAAUACUAAAUUACCUAUUAAUGAUGUUCUUCUUGUUCCUGAAUUAACUAAAAAUUUACUAUCAGUAAGUCAGCUUACCAAACAAUUUCCUGUGAACUGUGAGUUUUCUGACGUUGAUUUUUGUGUUAAGGAACGGAAAACAGGACAACCUCUGAUCACAGGUAGACGUAAGGGUGAUCUUUAUGUCUUGCACAACUCGCCAGAAUUACAUUUUUCUUAUCGUUUUAAAACUGGAUCAGCAGCAAUUUGGCAUCAACGCCUAGGACACCCUCAAGCUUCUGCAGUGCAGCUAUUAAAAAAUAAAGGAUUGAUUGACGUCACAGGAGCUAUGAAGACUGAGCACCUUUGUGAUAGUUGUCAAUUAGGAAAACUUAGCAAAUUACCUUUUUCGCAUUCUGAACAUUCAAGUACUGAUGUUUUUUGAAAAAAUACAUUGUGAUUUAUGGGGACCUGCCCCUGUUUUAUCUAUUGGAAAAUUCAAAUAUUAUGCUUGCCUAGUAGAUGAUUUCUCUAAAUAUACAUGGAUAAUUCCUCUUCAUAACAAAUCUGAUUUUCUAACAGUGUUUAUAGCAUUUGAAAAGUAUGUUAGUAGGCAAUUUAAUAAACAGAUCAAAGUCUUUCACUCAGAUGGAGGAGGAGAAUUUAUUAACUCAAAAUUAUCAAGUCAUUUUCGCUCCACAGGAAUUGUUCACCAGGUAUCUUGUCCUUACACUCCUGAACAAACAGGUAUGGUUGAAAGGCGACACAGAAUUAUAAGAGAACUAGGUAUGACAAUGUUAUUCCAUAGUGGUACUCCUUUAUUUUUAUGGGUUGAAGCCUUCACAACUGCUGUUUAUCUCAUUAAUAGACUGCCCUCUUCUGCUCUUAACUCUGACACUCCAUACUUCCGCUUACAUGGUAACCACCCUAUUUAUUCAUCUCUUCGUAUUUUUGGCUCCCGAUGUUUCCCUUACACUUGGGACACAAGACGAAAUAAAUUUGAUCCCAAAAGUGUUCCAUGUAUUUUUGUAGGAUAUAGUGAUCAACAUAAGGGAUAUAAAUGCUUUCAUCCAACAAGCAAAAAAUUUUUUGUCUCACGACAUGUGGUUUUUAGUGAAUCUAUCCUUCCGUAUAAACAAAAUAAUAUCACCACAAAUAUUGAUCACUCUAAUCAUGUCCUUAGCAUAUUUGAUUCUUGGCUAACUAUCCCUGCUUCACGCUCUCCUGCAGAUAUCUCUGAAACACCAGCAACGCCACCAUGCAGCAGCUCACUGCCCAUACCCCUGCUUCCUACUAUGACCUCAGAUACACCAGCGUGCUUUACAGAUAUUUCUCCAGCUGAUGUUGCUCUGCAACUCCAUGGUGACAGUACUCCAGCCCGCCAACAGCUUCAGCAGCGGUAUGGCACUUCAAUUACUCAGCCGGAGACAUUCCAGCAGGAGACAGUGUGCUUUACAGAUAUUUCUCCCGCUGAUGUUGCUCUGCAACUCCAUGGUGACAGUAUUCCAGCCCGUCAACAGCUUCAGCAGCAGUCUGACACUUCAAUUACUCAGCCGGAGACAUUCCAGCAGGAGACAGUGCACACUUCUUCACCUGAUAUCACUAACUCUGCGGCUGUACAAUCCCUUCAUGAUCUCUCUAAUUCUGGUUCUCCCACUGAUCCAUCUAUAGAACCCUCUUCCUCACUACAACACCAUAGUUCAGAGAAUGAUAUUCAGCAGGUGGCAACUCCCACUCAGCAGGAGAUUGCCCACAAUCUCUGCCCUGAUAUUUCCCAGCAACCACUCUCUGAGAACUUAACUACUCUGCAGCAGCAUGACCAACCAAAUUCGGCUCCUCACUCUAUGGUUACUCGUUCACAACGUGUGUUACACCAAGCUGCACAACCUCCUUGUAGUGAUGCCUCCGCAUACGAGUUUGUUCCCAAUUCCUCUACUUCAGCUCUUCGCACCAUGACCACUCGGUCUCAGCAUGGCAUCAUAAAACCAAAUCCCAAGUAUGCAUUAACAUCUGUCAUCUCUGCUGGAAUACCGCAUGAACCGCGAUCUGUGCGAGCUGCACUAGCUCAUCCAGGAUGGAAAGCAGCAAUGGAGGAUGAACUUACAUCCUUACACCAAAAUCAGACAUGGAAAUUGGUACCUCGUACCACCGAUAUGCAUAUCAUAGGUUCCAAAUGGGUGUUUAAAACCAAACUCAAAUCUGAUGGCAGCUUGGAGCGUCUCAAAGCCCGUGUUGUUGCCAAAGGAUACCACCAGAUUGAUGGCCUAGACUACACUGAAACAUUCUCUCCCGUUGUAAAGCCUGGCACCAUUCGGCUAAUUAUCACUAUAGCUCUUGUUCAUCAUUGGCCCCUACGGCAGCUUGAUGUGAAAAAUGCGUUUCUGCAUGGUUUGAUUUCUGAAAAUCUCUACAUGGAACAGCCACCAGGACUGUCAGAUCCUCAACGUCCACAGCAUGUCUGCAAGCUCCAACGUGCCCUCUAUGGCCUUAAACAAGCACCUCGUGCUUGGUUUGAUCGUUUUAGUUCCUUUCUCCUCAAAUACGGUUUCCUUUGCAGCUUGGCAGAUCCUUCUCUAUUUACUUUUCAUUCUGAUCAUGGUUCUCUUAUUCUCCUACUUUAUGUUGAUGAUAUACUUCUUACAGGAACUAUAGAUACCCUUGUUGCAGACUUCAUUACUCUACUCAGUCAAGAAUUUGCCAUGAAGGACUUAGGCCCUGCUCAUCAUUUUCUUGGCAUCGAAAUUUCGCCCACGCCAAAUGGACUUCAUUUAUCACAAUCACAUUAUGCCUUUACAAUUCUAGAACGUGCUGAAAUGGUUGACUGUAAACCCAUGACUACACCACUUGAAGCACGAACUAAAGCCUCCUCCAAUGCUCCUCCUUUAGCGGAUGUCAGUUUCUUCCGGGGGCUUGUUGGCUCCCUCCAGUAUCUCACCCUUACUCGACCAGAUCUCUCUUUUAGUGUUAAUUAUGUCUCUCAAUUCAUGCAUGCUCCUACAACUGUUCACUUAAAAAUGGUCCGCCGUAUCUUACGAUAUGUCAAAGGUACUAUUAAUAAUGGUCUGCACUUCACUUCUAAUACUAAUCUUAAUUUCUCUGCUUUUUCAGAUGCUGAUUGGGCUGGCUGUCUUACUACACGACGUUCAACCACUGGCUACUGUGUCUUCCUUGGAUGUAAUCUCAUCUCCUGGUGUGCCAAGAAACAACAUACUAUUUCACGCUCUAGCACUGAAGCUGAAUAUCGUGCUAUGGCCAACACGGCUGCAGAACUUACCUGGUUGACCUACAUCCUUCAUGAUUUACACAUUCCCUUACUAUCUCCACCAGUGCUCUAUUGUGAUAAUCUCAGUGCGCUCCAUAUGACGGUCAAUCCUGUUUUCCAUGCUCGCAGCAAGCAUAUUGAACUUGAUUAUCAUUUUAUACGCGAACGCGUAGCUCUUGGGAAACUUAUUACACAUCAUAUUCCCACUACACAUCAGAUUGCUGAUCUGUUUACUAAGCCGGUGUCCAAAGCUACUCUUCUUCGUUUUCAGCGCAAACUUUGCCUCCAACCUCGGCAACGUUUGAGGGAGGGUAUUAACAGCAACAACACACCUCUGCAGCAGCAGCAGGAGACAGCAGCAGCAGCACCACAGGAUCCUCACUCUCGUCAGCAACCAUUCUGAAUUAACACCUCCAACGGCUACUAUUCAGAAUGGUAAUUAACCAUACAUGGAAAUCACAGGAAUCAACAGCUACCUCAACCAACGGCUACUUCUCAAAGAAGGAAACUACAGCCAUGGCAGAUCUUUCAUAGAAGGAAACUACAGCUACCUCA
RNAcentral lists this long non-coding RNA (5960 nucleotides) under Populus trichocarpa (black cottonwood). Its description in RNAcentral is "long non-coding RNA (PTRI_LNC002028)". The record is from RNAcentral. Lineage: Eukaryota; Viridiplantae; Streptophyta; Magnoliopsida; Malpighiales; Salicaceae.